GAACCUUCCUUCGAGCGGGGAAUAGCCCAGAGUAAAUUUGGAUUAACUACCCAUAGUAUAUUAGAGUGGCAUCACUUUGAUAUUAAAGAUUUAUCACUUGAAGAUGGCUGUGCGGCUGAUUAGGUAGUUGGCGGGGUAACGGCCCACCAAGCCUUCGAUCAGUAACUGGUGUGAGAGCACGACCAGUCACACGGGCACUGAAACACGGGCCCGACUCCUACGGGAGGCAGCAGUAAGGAAUAUUGGUCAAUGGACGAAAGUCUGAACCAGCCAUGCCGCGUGGAGGAUGAAGGUCCUCUGGAUUGUAAACUUCUUUUAUAUGGGACGAAAAAAGGGUUUUCUAACUCGUCUGACGGUACCAUAUGAAUAAGCACCGGCUAACUCCGUG
RNAcentral lists this ribosomal RNA (388 nucleotides) under uncultured bacterium. Its description in RNAcentral is "bacterial SSU rRNA". It matches the Rfam family "Bacterial small subunit ribosomal RNA", at positions 122 to 507 of the family's 1533-position model. The record is from RNAcentral.